UACGAGGGGGGCAAGCGUUGUUCGGAAUUAUUGGGUUUAAAGGGUGCGUAGGCGGUCGAUUAAGUCAGUUGUGAAAUACGGCAGCUUAACUGUCGAGGUGCAAUUGAUACUGGUUGACUUGAGUACAGACGAGGUAGGCGGAAUUGACGGUGUAGCGGUGAAAUGCAUAGAUAUCGUGAAGAACACCGAUAGCGAAGGCAGCUUACUAGACUGUAACUGACGCUGAGGCACGAAAGUGUGGGGAUCAAACAGG
RNAcentral lists this ribosomal RNA (253 nucleotides) under uncultured bacterium. Its description in RNAcentral is "partial 16S ribosomal RNA". It matches the Rfam family "Bacterial small subunit ribosomal RNA", at positions 524 to 776 of the family's 1533-position model. The record is from RNAcentral.